CCAUAAUUCUGUUCAGUUCACCGUCAAGCAUUGAGCAAUUGCCUAUUGCUCUUGUCAUUCUUUUUUCCUAUCACCAAAAGCCCUGCUGCGCUCCGUCCACAGUACGACGUUGUUGAUGGUGGGAAGGUUGCAUGAUGGGUGCAAAGAUUGUAUUGAGCGAUGUAGGAGAGGCAAAAUAUAACCUUGCACCCCAAAAGGCAAGUGACUUGAUCCGACUUCAUCCUUCUUGCGCUUCAGCACUGUCUCCUUGGGCUGCCUUCGUUAUGACAUCGCGACAUUAUUACGUUUGACCUGACCACCUCCUACCACCGCUUCUUUAAGCCCUCUUCUCUGUUCUCUUCCACCUAUUGUUGGGUGACUAAUUAUAAUUAGCUUUACUCAUUUUCUUCCUCGAUCUUGUACAAUUGUUAUAAGACAUUUCAAAUUUAUAUCUGAUGCACCCAUCCUCAUUAU
Molecule: small RNA, 453 nt
Filed under: Cryptococcus neoformans H99
Lineage: Eukaryota; Fungi; Basidiomycota; Tremellomycetes; Tremellales; Cryptococcaceae
Description: Cryptococcus neoformans var. grubii H99 hypothetical RNA
Source: RNAcentral